Lotus japonicus is the source of this 977-nucleotide long non-coding RNA. RefSeq lists it as uncharacterized. NCBI's taxonomy places the organism in Eukaryota, Viridiplantae, Streptophyta, Magnoliopsida, Fabales, Fabaceae. The record is from RefSeq and is a predicted model, not a curated record. The transcript is spliced from 6 exons.
CAAUUGUUAAGUUAUAUAUGAAUCAAUUCACUAAAGUGAAAUAUUCAUCCAAGUAGCGAAUUGACAAUCUCCUUCAAGCUCUCGAAACCCUCAAAUUGUCAUGAAGUAAAAUAGUCGAACUAAGAACAAAUUAAGUACUGAAGCUGGUUUAAGGUCUGUAAAUGGUUCUUACCCUGCUUCUUUAUCGGAGGUAGACUUCUUUGUUGGAAGAAUUCAGAGAAAGUGGUGGCCAUGUCAUACAUGCUUGUGAUUACAAAUCUGGGGAGAGGGGUACACUAUGCAUUGCAAGAUCAGAAAACCAUGUUCCAAAGACAUGUCAAUAUUUGCAAGACCAGAACCCAUGUAGCAGAAUACCAGAAGCUGCCUAGUCCUUCCUAUGAUAUUAAAUUUUUUGAAAGAACAAAUAAGGUUCGUUCACUACAACUAGAGAGCUUGACAAACUAUAUUGCCGCGCGAAUUGUCUCUCAUGGAGAACAGCAUAUAUACUUUGUUAUGCUCCAUUACUUGUAGCCGCUUCUGCAAUUUUCCUUGCCAAGUUUAUACUUUUCAUUGCGAAGAAACCAUGGGAGGAAGCGGUGAACCGGCUGUUGGGGUUGAUUGCAAUGUAAGUCUCACAUUGCUAAUGAAGGAGAAAAAAGAUCAAGUUAUACAUCUUGGAGAAGUCCCACAUCGCUUAGAUUAGUGAGGGGUGGGAGGAUCCAAGACUAUAUAUAGGGAUCUCAAGCUCCUUGUUUCAACACACCAAAACACCAAAGAUGUAGCACCUGAAAACACUUUAAGUUUAUAUUUGUGUUUUCUUUUUCUCUUAUGCUCUUGUUUUAGAGCAUUGUGAGAUGUAGCUCAAAUAUUUACUUUGGAGAGUGCGGGUGUACUGGGGUCUUGGGGUGUGGUUGAGAGUGAAAUCUAUGUGUUGUAACAAUUUUCACAUAGUGUUUAUUCUCUGGUUGUCGGUUUUGACAACGGUCGUGGUUUUUCUC